GCACUUAAUUUUUUUUGGAAAUUUUGAACAUUUGUGCUGCAACCAUGGUUACAGUAGAUAAUUCCAAAAUUCUAAAAGCAGACAUCUCAUUGCCACAUGUCAUGUUAUAUAUCAAUACAGUUUCAUUUACUUUGGUUCACUACUCUCUGAGAAAAUGCUGAUUUUAUGCAUUUUUCCAUAGGGUCAAUGCAAAACUUGGCCCCAGUUUCCAUGACAACGGCGGCCAUUUUGAACUAUCCAUAUAUUGUCCCCCGCUGCAAUUUUUUCCCUCCAUAAUCAUAUAUACCAUUUAAUGUCUCUAGAGUAAAUUUAACAUUGAUGUUCUGGAAUGUUCUGUGAAAAUUCAAAGUUUUGACCUUUUUGCAUUGUUUCCAUGGUAACUACAGAUAUUUUGGAAAUUCCAACGCCAAAUGCCACAUCUUCCAAUGUUGCUCAUCGUUACUGUGAAGUUUCAUGAAGUUUGGAGCAUUUUGAUAUUUUUGAAAUUUUUGGUGUAGUUUCCAUGGCAACAUAGUAGGUCCAAUGAGUGCCAAAAUCAUCCAACACCUGUAUAUAGUGGGCACCUACAUUGUAUUAAAAUAUGGUGAUUCUGAGUGUAAGCAUAUUCAAACAGUUCACCAAAACAAAAAACUAGAUUUUUUCACAUUUGUUCUGUUUCCAUGGAAACGGUAGCC
This 674-nucleotide long non-coding RNA is filed under the name Mytilus galloprovincialis (Mediterranean mussel). Lineage: Eukaryota; Metazoa; Mollusca; Bivalvia; Mytilida; Mytilidae. The record is from RNAcentral.